Non-coding RNA from Schizosaccharomyces pombe (fission yeast), 673 nucleotides. The record is from the annotation of a GenBank genome assembly. NCBI's taxonomy places the organism in Eukaryota, Fungi, Ascomycota, Schizosaccharomycetes, Schizosaccharomycetales, Schizosaccharomycetaceae.
UUUCAAGAAUCUGAGGAAGAUUGCUUCCACACCAUUUCGCGACUUUGUCUCCACCGUGGCCGUCAUAAACCGCAAAAAAGUCGACCGGGUCUUUUACUGCAGAGCACUCCAUUGAAAGUAUAGCAGAAUGAGCAUCUUCCAUUGAGAUACGCCAUCCUUGCAUGCUUGAAAGUCCAUAAAGGACGAACUCAUUGCUCCCGUUCACCGAGUGCUUCUCGGUGACUGGCUCUGAUAAUGUCUGACCCAUUGACAGCUCUUGCUAAUAGAUGACACAAAUUUUCACGUUUUCUUUUUGUGUCGCUUCAAAACGGGUUAUGUAGUAGUGAUAGGUAAAUCGCUAGUAGGUGGUGGAGCUUGUCGGAGGGAGUGUUGUGGCACCCUCUACAACUACAUCACCACCGUGGAGACGAACGAUAGUUGUUAAAAGACUAUGGAAGGUAACAAGAUUAGCAGUAGUCAAGGCAUAUAUGUAAACAACAGAAUAAAUGGUAUCAAGGACUAAAUACUUAUAAAUUUCAAAUGUUCAUUAAAAAACAUGUGUAAACAUAGCAUAUCCUAUAAAUUGAUUUUUCAAUGGUUUGCAUUUUACUAUGACUACAAUAGAGACAAAAACAACGCUGAGUAGAAUGCCCCAACAAAUUCAGCAACUUGAUUCAGAAAAAAUUUCUAUUAG